AGCAGUUAAAUAUCAUAAACAUAUCAGCAUUCAUAUCUCACAUACAUUCACAUAAAUAACAAAAUUAAAGCUAAGUGUUUAAGUGCCACCAAGGCAUAAAUAUCAGUUGAAUAAAAAGUAUUUCGAAAAUGCCCCUGAACUAGUUAUGCUUCCUAUCUCUUAUUUUUCUAAUUUCAUGCUCCCCUGGUUCUGCUUUCUUUCCUUUCCUAGGUUUUUGGUUCCUUUACCCUGGUACCAUACUACUCCCAUUUUUUGUCAGCAUCAAAGGAGGAGGAUUCUACUCAUCAGAUGAAGUAGAGGGAGAGGAUUCAGUUCCAUAAAAAGGGUUAAGAGGAAAUGAAAAGGGUUCUCGGAGAUGAGAUGACUUUCUAGGAGAGGAGUUUGAAGAAG
RNAcentral lists this long non-coding RNA (390 nucleotides) under Theobroma cacao (cacao). RNAcentral's name for it is "long non-coding RNA (TCAC_LNC004957)". Lineage: Eukaryota; Viridiplantae; Streptophyta; Magnoliopsida; Malvales; Malvaceae. The record is from RNAcentral.